CCGCCAGGCACAAGGCCUGGCGGCCAAUGGCGCGCGCCUGAGCCCGGGGCACCGGAGGCUACAACGUCAAUCAAAAGGAUUUUAACCCUUUGAUACUAUCCCUGCUGGGCUUUGCUUUAGGCAGGAUUUUUUCCGCAUUGGUUUUGCUCUAGUUUAGUUUAUUUCUUUGGGGGCUACGGUCUUUGCUCUUCAUUUCCUUUCAAAUGGGUAAUAGAGCUGCUUUGACGCUAAGUUAAUUUGAAAAAUAUUUUUAAAAGGUUUAGAAGGACAGGGUAAAAGAUUAUACUUGCAGUGGUUAAAAGGGGGAACGUGUGCAAGGGUGUGAGUUACCGAAACAUCCAAGCAAUUUCCCGCUCAGACUAUACAUUGGGGGGGUGGGGGUGAAAGUCGAUCAUGCAGAAAUAGAACAAAAAAAAAUGUCCUUUUGUCAUGCAGAAAAGGGAAAAAAAUGCCUCCCACCUUACAUUUGCAGGUCGUUCAGAGCAAGGUGGUUUUUGAUCUUCACCCCUCAUUCCUCUUCAGGAGUUGGGGCUUGGAUCCCGCUCUUCCCCUGGAAAUAAUCAGAAUAAUUUCCAACUGGGCAGAAAGGAAAUAGAAUUUCAAAUGAAAGAUGAACAAGGAGGACUUUGAUGGCAAUGCCUUAGGGAUGCGCCAUCUCCACCCUUUCCCUUUCCACCCGCAGGCUCUCGCUCGGUUCGGUGGCACUUAGAGGUGGCGGGCUGUGCAGGAGCCUCUCCCCUCCUCCUCGCCAGGCGGGCGGGCGGAGGCGGCGGCGCAGCCUCAGCACCAGGCGCAGGCGGGCCCUUUAAGAGCGACACCAGCCGAGCUGCAGUUUGACAUCAGCCGGCCGGCGAGGGCGCGCCUGGAGCCGGAGCACGUGCCAGGAUGUUUUAUUGCCGCCGCGGCUGCGGCCGGGGCCGGGAGGAUGUGUGUGUGCGUGCGUGUGUGAGUGUGUGUGCGCGCGCCCCGGGGGCAGAGAGGCGGGGGGCGGCGGCGGGCGGCGGAGCGCGGGGGCUGGUUCCUGGUCCCCAGGAGAAGCCAAGAAGAUUCCCUGCAGCCUGCCAGAGACGUGGUCGCUGCCCUGCCAAGAGCUAUCUGGGAGAGCUAUUGAAAGAGUCUUGAGGAUGCUUCCUGAGAAGAAAUAUUCUUCUCCAGUCACUGAUGUUUUAGCAUUUCAGCAUCUGUGGAAGGUGAUGCCAUUGACCUGCCUUCCAUAGAGGACCCUAUCCAGGCUUCCACAGUGUAUUUAGUUAUCUCAUCUCCUUCAUCUGCUUCACUCUGUGGCAGCUCCACCAUCUUUCCUUGUCUUUCAUGACACUUUCAAGAGUCCUAGUCAGUUGUUUCAUAGAAUGUCCUCCACUGGGUCUGUCUGACAUUUCCUCGUGGCAAUAUUGAGGAGCUGCAUUAUUGGGAAGAACACCCAGACGUACCUGACGUUGUAUUUCACUGCCGUUAAACAUGAUCACAAGGUGCAGCCUCGGAGACAAACAGGCUCUCAGACGCCCCUGCGGCUCAGGGACCCUGGAACACAGAGCCGGCACCGAGCGCUUGGUCGGCAUGGUGCUUGGUUUGUUGGUACAUGGCAUACGGUGGGAUGAAAACAUUAUGUUUCCUCUUAGUUAUCCAAGCACAUUUUGCAUUAUACUUCACAUAUAUCCGUACUUUUUUUUCAUGUAAAAAUAACUGUUUUUGCCUCUCCCUCUGGCCAAUCUUUCAAGUAAAGUUAAAAUUCCAGAAUUCCUCUUGUUGGUCCAAUCUGUGUCCCUGGGGGUCCUGUGUAGCUCAGCCCAAGAAGUCAGAUGAGGAGCACAGGGAGAAACAGGCAUCACUGAGCGGUCAUUUACUGCUAAUGAAUUUUGUCUCUUUAUCUACUGAUUGACUGAAUGUAUCAAAAUGCAUCUGGUUAGAAAUUUUAAGCAGUACAAAAGUAACCCUUCCAGCCCAGUGGCUCAGUGGUUGAGCAUCGACCUAUGAAUCAGCAGGUCACGGUUUGAUUCCCAGUCGGAGCACAUGCCCAGGUUGUGGGCUCAAUCCCCAGUGUGGGGCAAUCAAUGGUUCUCUCUCAUCAUUGGUGCUUCUAUCUCUUUCUACCUCUCCCUUCCUCUCUGAAAUCAAUAAAAAUACAUUUUAAAAAAGUAA
Myotis daubentonii (Daubenton's bat) is the source of this 2139-nucleotide long non-coding RNA. RefSeq lists it as uncharacterized. The record is from RefSeq and is a predicted model, not a curated record. Lineage: Eukaryota; Metazoa; Chordata; Mammalia; Chiroptera; Vespertilionidae.